CCAACAGGGAUUGCCCUAGUAACGGCGAGUGAAGCGGCAACAGCUCAAAUUUGAAAUCUGGCUCCUUUGGGGUCCGAGUUGUAAUUUGCAGAGGGUGCUUUGGCAUCGGCGGCGGUCUAAGUUCCUUGGAACAGGACAUCGCAGAGGGUGAGAAUCCCGUACGUGGGCGCCUGCCUUUGCCGUGUAAAGCCCCUUCGACGAGUCGAGUUGUUUGGGAAUGCAGCUCUAAAUGGGAGGUAAAUUUCUUCUAAAGCUAAAUACCGGCCAGAGACCGAUAGCGCACAAGUAGAGUGAUCGAAAGAUGAAAAGUACUUUGGAAAGAGAGUCAAAUAGCACGUGAAAUUGUUGAAAGGGAAGCGCUUGCAGCCAGACUUGCCCGCAGUUGCUCACCCAGGCUCCGGCCUGGGGCACUCUUCUGCGGGCAGGCCAGCAUCAGUUUGGGCGGUUGGAUAAAGGCCUCUGUCACGUAUCUCCCUUCGGGGUGACCUUAUAGGGGAGGCGCAAUGCAACCAGCCCGGACUGAGGUCCGCGCAUCUGCUAGGAUGCUGGCGUAAUGGCUGUAAGCGGCCCGUCUUGAAACACGGACCAAGGAGUCUAACAUCUAUGCGAGUGUUUGGGUGUCAAGCCCGGGCGCGUAAUGAAAGUGAACGGAGGUGGGAACCCUUUGGGUGCACCAUCGACCGAUCCUGAUGUCUUCGGAUGGAUUUGAGUAAGAGCAUAGCUGUUGGGACCCGAAAGAUGGUGAACUAUGCUUGAAUAGGGUGAAGCCAGAGGAAACUCUGGUGGAGGCUCGCAGCGGUUCUGACGUGCAAAUCGAUCGUCAAAUUUGGGCAUAGGGGCGAAAGACUAAUCGAACCAUCUAGUAGCUGGUUC
This 873-nucleotide ribosomal RNA is filed under the name Kalmusia variispora. RNAcentral describes it as "LSU rRNA". It matches the Rfam family "Eukaryotic large subunit ribosomal RNA", at positions 65 to 957 of the family's 3401-position model. Lineage: Eukaryota; Fungi; Ascomycota; Dothideomycetes; Pleosporales; Didymosphaeriaceae. The record is from RNAcentral.